CCAUCAAAUAAGAAAUGGAAUUUCCUAAAUAUUUAAUCAACCUAAUCAGGAAUCCACACUUCAGGUCAAGAACAUAAUUGUUAUUUAAUUAUUGACCUAACAUGACCCUUAAAAAAUGUUUACAGAUUAGUAUCGAAACUACCAGGGGUUUACAAGUUGAUGAGACAGUUCAAAAAAAUUGAGAAUGAAACUGUGAACUUUAUAGAACAACUCAUUCAAGGCUGAAUAAAUAAA
Non-coding RNA from Cinara cedri, 234 nucleotides. NCBI's taxonomy places the organism in Eukaryota, Metazoa, Arthropoda, Insecta, Hemiptera, Aphididae. The record is from the annotation of a GenBank genome assembly.